UUUUUAAAUAUAUUAUUAUUAAUAUUAUUAGUUAAAAUAAAAGAAAUAAAGUAAAAGAAACAAUGAAACAAAGAAGAAAAGAAACAGAAUAGCUAGAAAAGAAACAGAGAAAGAGACGAAAAACAGGGGAAGAAAAAGGGAAAGAAAAUAAAAAGGGGAAAUUUAGAUUUUAAAGCUUCAAGUUAAUUGCUAACAAGGAACUCGAAGCAUCGGCACACAAAGGAAAGGAGAAGGUUAUUGAGGAAUAAUCGAGUAAAUUCGGGUCGAUAGAAGUCAAAGGUCCCGGUUCAGCAUCUAGAUCAAUCCCGACUUCAGCAUAAUUUUGGUGAUGUAUAUUUCUUUUGGUAAUGUGGCAUGUACAUAGGAUGUGUAUAAAGAUUGUUAUGUUUUAAUAUAAAUGGUAAAAAAAAUGUUAGUAUUAAAAGUUUAUGAAUUAUUAUGAAAGAAGUUUAUCUAUUUUGAUUUAUUUAU
Long non-coding RNA from Gossypium raimondii (Peruvian cotton), 471 nucleotides. RefSeq lists it as uncharacterized. NCBI's taxonomy places the organism in Eukaryota, Viridiplantae, Streptophyta, Magnoliopsida, Malvales, Malvaceae. The record is from RefSeq and is a predicted model, not a curated record. The transcript has 3 exons.